UUAUACUAGGCCAUUAUAACAGCUAAAGGCAGUUCCCUAGCAACAAAAAGCUUCUUGAAAGAGAAACGGCCAGUAAGAUGUAUCUUCGAGGGUUCAGUCUAGGCGGUUCUACUCUCUGGCGGGUGAAAACCCGCCAUUUUCCGCGGAAAAGCUCCCGCUCUUCAUCCAGUAUAGCGACGCAUCAGUCAGUGAACAAGACUUUGACUCGGUCUGUUGUAGCACUUCAGCAAGAAAUACUCGCCCAUCGAAGCUCUCCUCAGCUUGAUUGGCAAUACUUGAAUGAUUUAAAUGGGGGUCAGCUAGGGCCAAGCAUGAAAACUGAAGUUCCUGGUCCCAAUUCCAGGCUUCUCAUGAAAGAUCUAGGACAAUUUCAUCAAAACAGCAGCAUUGCUUUCUUUAUUGAUUACGAGAAAUCUCAGGGAAACUUUGUUUCAGAUGCAGAUGGGAAUGUCCUCCUUGAUCUCUUCCAGCAAAUUGGAAGUUUACCUCUAGGGUACAAUCAUCCUUCAUUAUUGAAGGCAGUGGAAAGCCCAGCCACAAAACUCUUCCUUGCAACACGUCCAGCUUUAGGUGUGACCCCACCAAUGGAUUACAUUGAUCAGCUUCACUCAACACUUAUUUCUGUUGCACCUAGCAAGCUUCAUUAUGUACAGCCAAAAAUGUGUGGUACCUGUGCUAAUGAAAAUGCACUCAAGACAGCUUUCAUUUGGUAUAGGAACAAAGAAAGAGGCUGGAAACAGGUUCAAACUGACUCUGCUGAAAUGAUGAGUGCUUACAAUAACCAGGUUGGCUCAAUUAUGAUAACAAGUUCAAAGUUCUUAAUUAUAAUCUCUAUUAAACUCUCACAGGAGCCGGGCAUACCAAAGCUAAGUGCACUCUCUUUCACUGGAGGAUUUCAUGGACGCAGCAUUGGUUGUCUAUCUGUGACUAACAGCAAACCAAUAUACAAGCUUGACGUUCCUAUGCUUAAUUGGCCCAGAGCUACAUUUCCCGAAUACAAAUAUCCACUGGAGCAUUAUGAAGCUGAGAAUCUUGCUGAAGACUCACGCUGUCUUGAAGAAGUCGAAGAAACUAUUUACCAGCAUUUGCAUACUGCCCCAGUGGCUGCUGUCAUCGUGGAACCAAUUCAAUCAGAAGGAGGUGACAAACAUGGCUCACCAUACUUUUUCAAAGGACUACAGCACCUUUGCAAAAAGUAUGGAGCUGCUCUGAUAGUGGAUGAGGUUCAAACUGGAGGUGGUGGUACUGGUAAAAUGUGGGCACACCAGCACUGGAAUCUCCUUGAUCCACCUGAUAUUAUAACGUUCGCAAAGAAAAUGUUUAUUGGUGGUUUCUAUUGUAGAGAAGGAAUGCUUCCAAAUGAACCUUUUAGGAUACAGGGCACGUGGAUGGGUGAUCCAUCAAAGAUGUUCAUUCUUAGAGCUAUGCUUGAAGAAAUCAAGAGAGAGAACCUGCUCCUGCUGGUAGAAGAGACAGGGAAAGUCCUCCUCUCUGGCUUAAAAGAAUUACAAGAUCAUUAUCCAGGUAUGCUUCACAGUGCAAGAGGUAAAGGUACAUAUUGUGCCAUCAGUGCAAAAGACACUGACACACGUAAUGAGCUAAUUGUUGCUCUUCGUCAAAAAGGUUAGCAAGUCUAGCUGGCGGAGAGUGCAUGCACUAUAAGAGCCUUUAUCUGUGUUUUUGUUUGACAUUGUUGCAGUGUGACUUCAACUUGACGCAAUCUCCAGUGGGUUUUCUGUUUGGGGGUGUGGUUCGGACUCGAUCAGGUUCCGGCCUGCACUUAUUUGUCUGCCGAGACACGUGUCAUUGUUUCUGACAGGCUUUGAGGACGUUCUGAAGGAAAUGUCAAAAAAGAAAUAAUUAAUUCUGGCUCUUUUGUUUGCUUUGUACACUGGCUGCAUCAGUUGGUGAUUAUCAUUGGCAUUCUGAAUAACUUUUAUUUUAUUUUAAAAAUAAACAAGUUAUUAAUAAAAUGAAUGAUUGAUUAAAUUGGACAGUUAUUCUUAACUAUAAAUAGUUUUAACUUGU
This is an RNA transcript of Amphimedon queenslandica, 2028 nucleotides long. It is a transcript of the gene named 4-aminobutyrate aminotransferase, mitochondrial-like, with no coding region annotated. The transcript is spliced from 14 exons. The record is from RefSeq and is a predicted model, not a curated record. NCBI's taxonomy places the organism in Eukaryota, Metazoa, Porifera, Demospongiae, Haplosclerida, Niphatidae.